This 904-nucleotide long non-coding RNA is filed under the name Chrysemys picta bellii (western painted turtle). RNAcentral's name for it is "lncRNA (ENSCPBG00000024933.1)". Lineage: Eukaryota; Metazoa; Chordata; Testudines; Emydidae. The record is from RNAcentral.
CACUUUCAUCUGUCUCUAAAUCUCAAAAUCCAGCACUAGGUCAAGGAAAUCCUUGUCUAAUGACCAUGCCCUUGUCUUGGAAUAAUACAGAGAAGUAUCAUUAGACUGCCCAUUUAAGAAAUUCAGCAAUAAGGAAAUUAAUCUCCUGAAAUGUUGGUUAUGUUUGGAUUUUCAUUGUGGCUGUUUACAUUCAGCGUGGAAAUGCUGACAAUUUAAAGGACUGCAAUCAUUACUAGAAGCAGAUUACAUUACCAAGGAGUACCAAUCUGACCAUGAAGGUUGGUGUGAUUAACACCCAUCACUCCUAUAUAAAUGUUCCCAGGCCGGCAGUACAGGAUGCUGAUGUGGGCGUAGGAAGGAUAGAGAAUGGGAACAGGAGGUCUCUGGCUGAAGCGUAUGAUAGUUCAUCCAUAUUACAAACACAGGAGCAUGGGGACAGCUGCAGUGGUUAUUCUUCCACAAACAACUCACAGGCACUGAAAAGAGUGCUACAGAGAAUACCCAACUUUUUGGUUACCUUAAAAGACUGGGAGAAGAGGAUUUCCGAUGAAGGCUGCCAAACCUCAGACUCUUUUUUGGAAAAAAUUCAAGGUCCACAGCUAAGAUGGAGCAAUAAUUGUAAUAAUCAGAAUCUCUGUGAUGAAAUAUCAGAAGAAAUCAUGGAACAGCACCUACCUAGUGCCAUUGCACAGUACAAUGUUAACAACAACAGUAAUAAAGAUGAGUAAGUACUCUACAGUUUCAUUAUAAAGUUAUUUGUAUUGUAGAGAAUAGUAAAAAAAAAGCAAUAUACCUAGUUCUUUCCUUGCAAAUUAUUGCAUCAUACAAGUAAUCCCAUAAGGAAUUUCAUGUACAUCUGAACUAUAUGCACAGCAAAUGUUUUUCUAACACAAGUUAGUAGUGU